Long non-coding RNA from Chinchilla lanigera (long-tailed chinchilla), 4161 nucleotides. RefSeq lists it as uncharacterized. Lineage: Eukaryota; Metazoa; Chordata; Mammalia; Rodentia; Chinchillidae. The record is from RefSeq and is a predicted model, not a curated record. The transcript has 5 exons.
GGUCUUUAGCCACUAACUUGCCUCUUGCAGAUGCAAAAGCAGGCACUGAACUAGAGGAGAUUAGCCAUUCCAUCCCUUCCCUACUGUACCACAUACGGUCAGCCCUCUACCGCUGAGGGCUCUGCAUGCACAAAUUCAAUCAACCAGGGGUGGAAAAUAUUGGGGAAAAUCGUGCCUGUAUGAUACAGUAGAAUAAUUAAUUAUAUAGCAUUGACAUUGUCUAGGUAUUAUAAGUAAUCCAGAGAUGAUUUAAAAUAUGCAAAUGUUACGCCAUUUUAUAUAAGGGACAUGACUAUUUUAUUUAAAGGGCUUGAUUUUGGUAUCGAAGGGAGGGCUUAGAAUCAGUCUCUUGUGGAUAUGGAGGGACAACUGUAAUCUAACUGGGUCCCAGAACUCUCCCCAUAUGCUUUGUGGCUUAGCUAGUAUGCCGGUUUCUUUACAGAAAACACACAUGAUACAGAUGACAACAGUGAGUUAUUAACUGAACAGCCACCAUGCAUAGGCAUUUUACUACACACAUUAUCUCAGGAAAUCCUCACAGCAACUCUGUGAUGCAGUGAAAAGCCCUAGUGUGCAGAUGAAGACCCUGCAGCACAGAGCUUAAUUUGCUCAAAGACACAAAGCAAGUGUCAGAGUUGAGAGCUAAGCCUGCCCAGCUCUCCACAGCCAACUAUAAAGAAGCACAUGCCUUCCCUUCCUACAACACAGCCAGGGCUCACUGGCUCAGAAAAUGCACUUGGCCCGCUUAGUUGCAUCUCAACAAAGACAAAAAGCUGCGCUGCCUUUCCCCCUACUUCAGAUGCCUGGCGUUCUUGGUCUCCUCUGACACGCCAGGUGAGUGACUUUUGUUCCGUGGAGUGGUUGGAAUUCUCCAGAUAGGGUCUGGCCCCUCCCGAGAAUGUCUGUUUGUCUUGCAUACAGGUUUCAGCACAACAGGGAUUCCAGAGCGGCCAGAACAUUCUGGACAUGGAUGCCUCCCAAACAAGCGGAGCAGAAGGUGGGGAUCUAAGAAGAGGACAUAACCAAGGCGAGGCUCUCACUAUGUGAAAAAGGCUGGCCUUAAACCUGGGAUGCUUAAGCCUCUGUCUCCCCAAGUAGCUGGAAUUACAAGUGCGCGCCACCAUGCCCAGCCCAAGGCUCCUUGUGAACUGAUCCAACAGGCUGCCUAGUAAGUGGCUCAUAUGUUAUAGACAAAAGGAAAGGGAACAAUGAAAAGGAAAAUACUUCAAAUAUUGGAUUCCCCAGAUUAAGCCAUGCUGAAAACCCUUGACGAACAUUUUAAAAGCAUGCCAGUGGCUGCCACGAUUUCAGAGGCUGAAAACAGAAUCUGGUGUGUGCCCCUCCAGGGAUGCCAGGGGGGAAUGAUGGCAAGAGCUGCCCAGGAUUUCAAGUUGGGAAGGGGCCAUCUCUGGAGAUGCACUGAUUUCCAGGAAGAUAGAACAUCAAUUUGAUAGAACAUUAAUUUGACUCAAGAUGCAACCUCAUAGCCUGGUUUCUGGGGACAUUCUCCAGGCACUCACCUUCCUAGGAGCCACCUUGGCCUCUCAGCAGCGGCCAUAGUUGGGUUCUGCACCAGGAUGGAAAGCAACCAACCUCAGGGUCCAAUCUGAAUCGCAAUCUUCAAGUGAAUAAUCCCCCUGCCAGUUUGCAAAGAGCUUGGCUUGCGUGUCUGGAAACCAGGGCCAUCCGUCUCGUUAAUCAUUCAGCCUGAGCAAGUCGACUCCCUGCUGUAGGCAUCUGUGCAAACAAGCAGUGCUUGCCUCCAAACAGCGGGGAGAGUGUGUUGCAAGGAGCCUGUCCUGGUGCUGGAUGCCCGAGCCACAGCUGGACACCCCAUCCGUUUCUCUUUCAUGCCACCCUGGCUAACGAGUUGCUGUUUACGAGAAGCAAGAGUUGACUUGGUAAAUUCCCAGGGCAUAACGUAAGCGCCAGAUCUUGGAAGGCGCCUAUGGAAUCCUGCACUGGUGGGGGAGAAAAGACAAAAGGAGGAAGGACGGGAACAGAGCCAGGGAGGUCACACAGAAGGUCAGGGAAGAAGGAACCUGCCUCCUCGCUGUCCUCACUGCCACAGCCCUCCACCCACCCCUUACCGGACUUGGACCCCCGCGGCCACCUCUAAUCUGCCCUCGAGAUUUCUGGCACAUGCAAGUAAAGGAUGAAACUUCAAAACAUACUUUGACAUUUCUGUAUUUGAUCUGGUUUGCUAAUAGGGAAUCUAAAAUACAUGCCGCCCAACCGUUCCACAUUACAGUAUUUCUGGGAGUCCCACGUGGAGGUGCUAGGAUUUAUUCUCCCCAGUGUUUCCAGUUCUUCGGUUUCCUGCCUUUGUCUAGACUGCAAAACUAAUAAGAUACCUAGUGCUAAAACUAUGUGGAGAGUAAAACGGAUGACACAUCUGCAGCUUUAAUGAAAUGAGAUAAAUCUUGAAAAUGUAUCCAGACAGAUAUAUGUUACCAGUGGGUGUAUGAAGUUGGAUGAGUUAAGUUUCAUAUAAAUAUUGGCUUCCUUUUUUUUUAAUCUUUCAAAAUCUAGCAAACAAAAAGGGAUUGAUAGUCACUUUUAGAAAUAGAAAAUUGGAUUGAUUACUACUGAAAAUGAUGAAGGUUUAGGAUUUUCUUACCCCAGCUUGUGCUUCUUUUCUUUUUUUGUUUUUUUGUUUUUGUUUUUGCUGUUCUUAUGAGACAGGGUCUCACUAUGUGGUUCAGCCUGUUCUUGAACCCCCAGUGAUUCUGCUACCUCAGACUCAGCUGGGAUUACAGCAGUGCUGGGAUUACAGGUAUGUGCUGUCAUGCCUGGCCUCUUCUAUUUCUUUUUCCUCUCCAACCUCCUCUUUGCAUACACCAACAGUUUGCUUUACACAUUUUACUAAUAGACUUCAGUAUGGUAUUUCCCUGGCGUAGUGUUACAUUGGUUCAGAAAAAAAUUUUGAGAAAAGAAAAAUUGUAAAAUCCAAUGAUGUCAAUUAACACGAUGAGCUACUACUAGCCAGGCAUGGUGGCACACACCUGUAAGCCUAUAAUUGUGGGGGUCUCUGAGGCAGUAGGAUUUAAAGUCUAAGAAUUUCACAACUUUGGAGUGUUUUGAAUUUAGAACCUUCACACUGAGCUACAUCCCCACCAAUUUUUUUUCAGUCUUUUACUUUGAGACAGGAUCUCAAUAAGUUGCCCAAAAUUGAAAUCCUCCUGCAUCAGCCUCUGGAGAAGCUAGAGUUACAAGGAGUAUACCACUGUGCCCAGCUCAGAAAUUUUAGCUUCUGAGAAAAAAAUAAUGGUUAUUUUAAAAAAUUGUCAUGAUUCUCUAGGAACUGCCCAAACAAUGGAUAGGAAAGUUUAAAAUCCGAAGAUUCCCGUUCCCCUAACUUCAGUGGAGGUGCAUGGCUCUGGGCCUUUCCUUCCCCUUAGCUUCUCUGAUGCUCAGUUUCUUUGGGUACAAAGCUGGAGUGGGCAGUGCCGGCUUUGCCUUCUGGAGGGGACGAUGAACAUGCGAGGUGGGUAGUUUGCUUCCACCAGGGCUUCUGAGGGAGGCUGCCAGGAUCCCCUGGCCAGAGUCACGGUCACAGCUUUCCCCUCAGGGCCAGCGGGGGUGCCCACCGGCUGGUGAUCCUGCCAACCUCGUCCGUCCUCUCCAGUGUCACUGCUGCUUAGCGAGCAGCCUCCCUCGUGACUCAGGGCCAUGAAGGGUGGACACCACUGAGUCAAGCAAAUGACAUUAGAAAAAUGGAAACAGCAGCUCAGUCAUGACUUCACCGGAAGAAACAUUCUUAUAAAACUAUCUGAGUCAUGUUUGCAUCCUCCUGAUAAGUCAGACGCAGCUGAAAUUGCAAGGAGCAACCCUUAGGAGUCGCAUGGUGACAGCUGUGUCUCCAGCUCACUAAGUCCUUCCAAAGACCCAGGUUCUGGGGGGCGGAUGCGCUGGAGGAGGCCGGCGCUGCAGCAGGCCGUCAUUUCCUCAGCACCUCUGGUCCUCUUUCCUAGCACACAGUGUCACUGUCCCCAGUCCUCAGUCAGCGCACCACCCCCACUCCGUGCUCCUUGGCUGCCCCUGCAGGUGGGAUGGCCCAGGAGCCUCAUAAGAAAACAGGGAAGAACAAAAACACAAAGUCAGCCAAGGAAAACCUGCUGGAGACUUAACCCUUCUUAACCAAUCCAUCAUGAAAGUUUA